This 480-nucleotide ribosomal RNA is filed under the name uncultured Iamia sp. Its description in RNAcentral is "bacterial SSU rRNA". It matches the Rfam family "Bacterial small subunit ribosomal RNA", at positions 39 to 528 of the family's 1533-position model. The record is from RNAcentral. Lineage: Bacteria; Bacillati; Actinomycetota; Acidimicrobiia; Acidimicrobiales; Iamiaceae.
GGGGCGGGCUUUACACAUGCAAGUCGAGCGAGGUCCAACUGGGGGCAACCCCAGGGAAGACCUAGCGGCGAACGGGUGAGUAACACGUGAGGAACCUGCCCCAGAGUGCGGGAUAACUCGAGGAAACUCGGGCUAAUACUGCAUGCCUUCGUCGAGUGGCAUCUCUCGACGAAGAAAGAAUCUCGCUCUGGGAGGGCCUCGCGGCCUAUCAGCUUGUUGGUGGGGUAACGGCCUACCAAGGCAACGACGGGUAGCUGGUCUGAGAGGACGAUCAGCCACACUGGGACUGAGACACGGCCCAGACUCCUACGGGAGGCAGCAGUGGGGAAUUUUGCGCAAUGGGCGAGGGGGUGACGCAGCAACGCCGCGUGCGGGAAGAAGGCCCUCGGGUUGUAAACCGCUUUCAGCAGGAACGAAACUGACGGUACCUGCAGAUGAAGCCCCGGCCAACUACGUGCCAGCAGCCGCGGUAAUAAUCGG